RNAcentral lists this ribosomal RNA (497 nucleotides) under uncultured bacterium. RNAcentral describes it as "partial 16S ribosomal RNA". It matches the Rfam family "Bacterial small subunit ribosomal RNA", at positions 28 to 507 of the family's 1533-position model. The record is from RNAcentral.
GAUGAACGCUGGCGGCGUGCCUAAUACAUGCAAGUCGAGCGAACGGACGAGAAGCUUGCUUCUCUGAUGUUAGCGGCGGACGGGUGAGUAACACGUGGAUAACCUACCUAUAAGACUGGGAUAACUUCGGGAAACCGGAGCUAAUACCGGAUAAUAUUUUGAACCGCAUGGUUCAAAAGUAAAAGACGGUCUUGCUGUCACUUAUAGAUGGAUCCGCGCUGCAUUAGCUAGUUGGUAAGGUAACGGCUUACCAAGGCAACGAUGCAUAGCCGACCUGAGAGGGUGAUCGGCCACACUGGAACUGAGACACGGUCCAGACUCCUACGGGAGGCAGCAGUAGGGAAUCUUCCGCAAUGGGCGAAAGCCUGACGGAGCAACGCCGCGUGAGUGAUGAAGGUCUUCGGAUCGAAAAACUCUGUUAUUAGGGAAGAACAUAUGUGUAAGUAACUGUGCACAUCUUGACGGUACCUAAUCAGAAAGCCACGGCUAACUACGUG